GCUGCAGCUUUUAAACAGUUAUUUAAAGUACCUUUAUAGCUCAUGUAGUCGUGGUUUUCCAACAGAAGUUGUUUUAGCGGACUUUCACCAAACAGUGCUCAAGAAGUAUGUAAAGCCUAACGUCAGGGAGGAGUAGCUGAAGAGGCUGGUUAAGGAUGGGCGAUGUUCCAAAACAACAGUGUUAAAGAGAGAAAUACAAAGUAGAUGAGAGAGAGCUGGAGCAUGGCGUUCACCAGUCAGGAACACGUACAAGGGUGAUAUCACUGUUGUGCACACCCACCCCAUCCUGAGCUGACAUUUUCUUAUGCAACAAAAUCUGGUUUUGUGCACCAAGGAAUGGAGCAGCAGAUGGAAUUAUGGGAGAAGCUUAUUCAAUACUGGAGAAUGCUAGUUGCCUAGGAGACCAGUUGACUGACAGCUGCCUUCUUCGAGAGCUCUCCCUGGGCUGUGUUAGAGUUGGGAAGAUUUACUAUCAGAUGCUCUGCUACAGAUCCAUCAGUGCAUCUUGAAACCCACCUUUAUUUCUAAAAAAACAUACUGUUUCACUUGUUUUUGCUGUUCUUAUUUUUUCCUGGC
This is a long non-coding RNA of Pygocentrus nattereri (red-bellied piranha), 576 nucleotides long. RefSeq lists it as uncharacterized. NCBI's taxonomy places the organism in Eukaryota, Metazoa, Chordata, Actinopteri, Characiformes, Serrasalmidae. The record is from RefSeq and is a predicted model, not a curated record. The transcript is spliced from 4 exons.